AUUGAACGCUGGCGGCAUGCUUUACACAUGCAAGUCGGACGGCAGCACAGAGAAGCUUGCUUCUUGGGUGGCGAGUGGCGAACGGGUGAGUAAUGUAUUGGAACGUACCGAGUAAUGGGGGAUAACCAAUCGAAAGAUUGGCUAAUACCGCAUACGUCCUGAGGGGGAAAGCGGGGGAUCUUCGGACCUCGCGUUAUUCGAGCGGCCAAUAUCUGAUUAGCUGGUUGGUGGGGUAAAGGCCUACCAAGGCGACGAUCAGUAGCGGGUCUGAGAGGAUGAUCCGCCACACUGGGACUGAGACACGGCCCAGACUCCUACGGGAGGCAGCAGUGGGGAAUUUUGGACAAUGGGCGCAAGCCUGAUCCAGCCAUGCCGCGUGUCUGAAGAAGGCCUUCGGGUUGUAAAGGACUUUUGUCAGGGAAGAAAAGGCUUUUGAUAAUACCAGGAGCUGAUGACGGACCUGAAGAAUAAGCACCG
RNAcentral lists this ribosomal RNA (477 nucleotides) under Neisseria sp. oral taxon 020. RNAcentral describes it as "bacterial SSU rRNA". It matches the Rfam family "Bacterial small subunit ribosomal RNA", at positions 30 to 495 of the family's 1533-position model. Lineage: Bacteria; Pseudomonadati; Pseudomonadota; Betaproteobacteria; Neisseriales; Neisseriaceae. The record is from RNAcentral.